RNAcentral lists this non-coding RNA (21 nucleotides) under Caenorhabditis elegans. Lineage: Eukaryota; Metazoa; Nematoda; Chromadorea; Rhabditida; Rhabditidae. The record is from RNAcentral.
AAGACUAGCCUAUAAUUUAAA